UAUUAAUAAUAUAGUUAUCUUUCAAGUUAUCCCUACACUAUUGUAAACAUAUGUAUUAAGAGUAAUGUGAUAUGGAAGAGAGUUGUCUUCAACCAUGCUCCCCUUUCUAUCUCUUUCCCGUGACUUUUUUCCUAACAAUUAUCCUCCUUCAGCUAACAAUUUUCCUCACCAUUUCACUAACUUGAUGAUCAUUGGAGUAUCCCCUAUUUUAAAAAACUUGUUUUGCAAGAAGACACCAAGGCCUAACAUUCAAGCCCAAAGCCCAGUAUACAUUUGAAGUGAUAUAGUGUUGGAGUUGCAGUUCUUGGAUCAAAGAUUUAGCAUUGUCAGAUAUCGCAAUGGAGAGAGUGCUUAUGACCUGAUUUGUGGGUGUAAACAUCCCCAAUUGCUCAAACCUUUACCAUCGCUCAUGAAAGCCCCCUCAACCUGCAAAAUUCAAGGGAUAGAGAAAACCUUUCUAUGUUCAUUCAUGGAAAAAUUUUACUGUACUGAGUGACAAGGUCGUAUAAAUUACAUUUGAAGGGUGAUCAGAGUUAACUUGGAGAGAGUCAAAAAGGAAAAAAAAAAGCUGGUAAGAAGAGGGGGCUGUUCCAAUAGAGAAGGAUCUAAACUUCUUUCAGAGUUUUGAGAUCAGAUGAUAUAGAAAGAGGUAGGAGGACACACUCUGUUUGUCAAGAAGGAUUGGGAGAAGGAUGGAUAAGAGGGGAGAGAUUGAGGAAGAGGGAUUGGGAGUAUUAUCAUACGUUUGACAAGAAGGAUAAGGGUUCGAGGAUUCCAUCUUCCAAUUUGGAUAAUUUGAAUGCAUUACUCUCAUCCUUGUUAGCCAAACAACUAGAGGGAUAGUAAGUCAUCCCUCCACUUUACCCAAUCCAUCCUUCCUAACAAACAUAGCUUAAAAGAAAUAUAGCUUUAAACAGAGAAGGAAUUCUCAUGGUGUAUGGAGGGUUCUGUCUGGUACAUGUCAUGCUUUAUUGCAGAACUCUGCACGGUUUGAGAAGGAACUGCAUGUUGCUUUUGGUCUUUAGGCAUGGUGCUCAUGACAACGUCAUUUCGUACACUGAUCUCCCAGGAACAGAUGCAGAAUUGCUUGACCUAGCUAGGUACUAAUCUCUUUUACUUAAAAAGGUCCUUUCUUCUAUUUCUGCUGAUUUAACGUGCAGGUAUCGACCGUCAGUAGGCAGGACUCCAGACAAGAUUGAUGUACUUGUAAUCAUGCUGUUAUGAAAUUGCAAAUAGAAUUCUGAAUAGAAGAUUGAACUAGGCUAGUGUUAUAUGGUGAGAUGUCUUUGAAACUUCCUACUCCUUGAACCAAAUUCAUGAAACUUCUUUCACUCUACUGUCAAUUUGAUAUCACCAUUCUUGCCGGCUCAAUGCAUCUCUUUAAUCACAUUUCUUUGUCUGUGCUGUUUCUUCUCUUGGUAUAGAAGGCAUGACUUGCUCCACAACUUCAUCUAGGUUUGAUGUGAUUUUUUAGUUUUAAUAGAUAAAUGAUCUGAUGAACGAUUCUGUCAAAUAGUAAUUUCUGCAAGAUUAAAAUAUAUUGCCAAAAUCAAGCUAAGGAGCUCCUUGAUUAAAAAAUGCCAUUGCAUAUUAGUAAUAUGUGCUGGAUUAUUGAAGAGAAAACAAAACUUUCUUAUUGUAGAUGCAGCAGAACACAACCUUUAUUGAAUUUCAAUUCGUUUAUUUAUACAAUAAGGAAAAACAGAAUUGCAAGAUAUUCUCCAAGCAUAUCUGAUUUUCUGUUACAUAGAAGAUAGCCAUUAGAAUAACAACAGUAAACAAACUCUGAUACUAUAAACAAACUCAGAUUCUGCUGAGAUUUUAUUUUGCUUCUAGAGUCAUUCUUGGUCAACACAUGUUAGUAAUAUGUGCUGGAUUUUCUUUGCCAAUUGAGCUGCACAGAGGGGAUGUCCUUCGGAAAGUGAACUUCUGUGUUCAAGGGGGAGCAGUCCUCAUCACAGCUCACAUUUGUGACUUGUCUACCUUAUACCUUGCUAUAAAUUCCUUGAACCAAGUAGCUGAUAAUUUUGGAGUUCUCUUCAGUGUAGUGAAAUCAACAUGGUAAAGUCCGUAUCUCUGUGUAUAACCACGUGUCCACUCAAAAUUAUCAAGCAACGACCAGGCAAAAUAGCCCCUCACGUCUGCUCCUUUCCUGAUCAAAAGUAAAAUAAAAGGGCGUAAGCUUUCAGUUGUAUUUUGUUUGUAAAACUCUGAAGUAGCUCUGAAAAGGGAUGCAGUUUAUGGAAAAUGACCAUGGUAAUAGCGAGUUGAGUCUAUAUGAUGUAUAAAAGGUAAAAUGCAAACACAAUAUGAACUUACUCCAUUGCUGUCAACAAGGAAUCCCAGUAGUUAGAAAUAAACUCCACCCUUUCUAUAUCAUGACAAACAAUAGUGAGGUUUGGAUUGUUCUGCUGGCCAUACCCUACAAAACACAUUGCACUUGUAUGAGAAAGACAUUAAAAAGUUUGUCUGCUUUAAGGAACUCAAUUCAUACAUACCAUUCUCUGUAAUGAUCAUUGGUUUGUUAUUGUAUCUCUUCUUUAUAUAGGUAACCAUCUUCUCCAUUCCUUGUGGAUAAAAAUGCAGCCAGUCCACAUCAGUCUACAUAGACCAAAAACCAUUAGCAAAUUCCUGAGAAGGCAACAUUAAUUCUCAUGAUUGGGUUAACUUGAGAGGAUACGUACAGGUAUGCCGAUGGGAGCUCCAUCUUUUUCUUGGCUUCUCCGGGCAAGCCCUUCUGUCCUGGAGGCUCCUGUUCCGGGUUCACAAACGGAGAAGAUGCAGUCUUGGACGUAUUCACUGGUGUAAUGAUUGAUGCCAAUGAAAUCCAGUCCGUUCUUCAGUUUCUCUUUGUCAUUACUUGAAAAUUUCGGUAAAGUAGACCCUAGAAUUUUAGACAUUUCUGCGGGAUAAUUUCCAAAUAUGAUGGGGUCCAUGAACCUGCAUUGUACUUGAGAUUCAACAGGUUUCAUAUGCUAAAUGGAUUUACAAACAUUAAAACAGGCAUUAAAGAAAUAAACCAGUUCAGGUAGAAGUCUCGAGCUCUGUCAGCGGCUAACUUGUCUGCUGUGGAAUUGCUUAUUUGUUCAAACCACGUGCAAUCUAAGACAAUUCCAAUGCUGCCUCCUUGCUCUUUCUGAAUAAUUAAACAGUAAGUAGUAGUAAGCUUAUCCGUCCUGAGCGUCUGCUUUCCUUAUAUUAUUUUUAGUUGCCCCGCAAAUGAUAUCUAAGAAAUUGUUUUAUUGUUAAUACCUGGUAUUUAGUUCUGUAAACACCAACUGCUGUUGCAUGUGCUAAAAUCAUAUUAUGUGCUGCAAUAAAGGGCUCCUUCUCUGAAUCCCCAUGAGUGCAAUUUCCGAAAGGGCUGGAGCAGCGACAUGGUGGGUAUUCACCUAAUCGAUAGGAUUUAAUAGUUUGUAUAUUUGGCUCAUUGAAGGUGGUCCAGUGCUUCACUCGAUCUCCGAAAUUCUUGAAACAAACAUCUGCAUAAUAUCCAAAAUCCUUCCUGAUUG
Molecule: long non-coding RNA, 3512 nt
Filed under: Populus tremula
Lineage: Eukaryota; Viridiplantae; Streptophyta; Magnoliopsida; Malpighiales; Salicaceae
Description: long non-coding RNA (PTRE_LNC002102)
Source: RNAcentral